GGAGUUGUGGCUCAGUGGUAGAGCACUCACCUAGCAUGUGCGAGGCCCUGGGUUCAAUACUCAGCACCA
Molecule: transfer RNA, 69 nt
Filed under: Ictidomys tridecemlineatus (thirteen-lined ground squirrel)
Lineage: Eukaryota; Metazoa; Chordata; Mammalia; Rodentia; Sciuridae
Description: Spermophilus tridecemlineatus (thirteen-lined ground squirrel) tRNA
Rfam family: tRNA
About the family: Transfer RNA (tRNA) molecules are approximately 80 nucleotides in length. Their secondary structure includes four short double-helical elements and three loops (D, anti-codon, and T loops). Further hydrogen bonds mediate the characteristic L-shaped molecular structure. tRNAs have two regions of fundamental functional importance: the anti-codon, which is responsible for specific mRNA codon recognition, and the 3' end, to which the tRNAs corresponding amino acid is attached (by aminoacyl-tRNA synthetases). tRNAs cope with the degeneracy of the genetic code in two manners: having more than one tRNA (with a specific anti-codon) for a particular amino acid; and 'wobble' base-pairing, i.e. permitting non-standard base-pairing at the 3rd anti-codon position.
Source: Rfam by way of RNAcentral